Long non-coding RNA from Panicum virgatum (switchgrass), 1981 nucleotides. RefSeq lists it as uncharacterized. The transcript is spliced from 3 exons. Lineage: Eukaryota; Viridiplantae; Streptophyta; Magnoliopsida; Poales; Poaceae. The record is from RefSeq and is a predicted model, not a curated record.
CUGCCUCUCACCCUGACGCCUCCCUGCCCCGCGCCGCCGGCGCGCCGGCCGCCACCCCGCCGCCCUCGGCCCGCAUGCCUCCACCCCGCCUCCCAGCAGGGGCACGACACCGGGCAUGCGCCAGGACACGGGGCCGGGGGUAGCCCGCGCACGGCGGCCGGAAACCCACGCGACGCGCGGGCGCCCGUCUCGCCGCCCGCUCCCAUGCCGGCAGCCCGGCUCGUCGAACUCCACCGCCCGGGGGCCGCCCCCGCUCCGCCCCUCCGGCCCCUUCUUCCACGGGCGUACAGGUACGCUCCUACUCCUUCGCCACAGUCUUCGUCUUCCUCCCGCGCACUCCCUCUUCCUCUCGUGCCACCUGCCCUCCCUCCGGUCCACGCGACGGCGCUUCCUCCGCGCGACGGUGCUCUCUUGCUGCGCGCCCCCCAGCCCGACGUCACCUUCUUGCUGGUCGAUCUUAGUUGUGUUCCUGGUCUUAUGUGUUCUUUUCUCGUCAAUUCUUGGAUCAGUUCUUGUAAACUUGUGCCAUUUCUUGGAUCAGUUCCUUUGAGUGCAUAUCGAGAUGACAAAAGCAGAGUUUAGGUAAUUGGUAUGAAACUGUAAUUUCAGGGAAGCCAAUCCCUGAAAUUACAGGGAUCUGUCAAAGAAAGGCAGUACUACUGUUUUAAUUAGUAAAUAAAAUUGAUUCACUAACUAUUUUUGACAGAAGAACUACUAUUUUGUUCUGCUCUGCAUAUUGAUUGCCAUUGCAAAGAUAAUCCAGUCCAUAUUAAUUGUUGGAAGUUAGCACUUAAAUUUUGGUCCUAUUGGUACUGUGAUGCAGGGACAAUAAUCCAGUUCCACCAGGUGGGUUCAUGAACAUGUACUAGUGUUCAGUUUGCUGACAUUUAACAGUGAUUCAGUGUGCCUUGCAGGUAUAAGAAGCAAGGCAAAAUUGGAGGAAAAAGUGCCUAGGCUGAAGCAAUAGGAGGCUCUGUUCUUAGUUUUUCAUUUGUCAAAAAUUGAAACUGUCAUAUGUCAAUAGUCAAAAAUGGAAUUGUAUCUGAAUGAGUUGCUAUCUAUUUGAAUGGAGUUGUAUCUGAACUGAAACCUGACUAGUGAAUUAGUCAAAAAAUGGAAUUAGUAUGUGCAGGUUCAAAGGUUGUGCUUUGGCCCUGUCAUAUGUGCAUUGCUCCUGCUAGGUGUCCUUGAUUCUAAGGGUGGAAUUAGUAUGUGCAGGUUAAAGCUUCCUCAAACAGGAAACCUGGAUGUUUGGUCCUGCAGGUUGUUAUAACCUGUCAUAGUGCAUUGCAGUAUGGUUCUUCCAGGUCUUGUUUCCAGCACAUCAAUCAAUUUCUCAGGCCCAGGAAAGAUUUACACAUUACGGCAUGAUGUCACAAAUGUUCAAUGCCUAAUGCCAGGAUUAAUCCGGGCAAUAAGAAAGGUGGUACGGUUGAAGAACUUGAUUUAUGGUCUAGAGAAGUUCCUUUAGUCCACAUCCAUCUCGGUAUAACUUCUGGCUGUUCCUGAUUAUCAAAUGGACAGGCAUUGGAGAGGGGGGGGGGGGUGUUUAUUCAAGAAAAAUCACAAAACGGUCACAUGGAUAACCACUGGUAGCAGUACCAAGCCAAUGAAUGGAGUGUUCAGACUGACAUCAAGAUUCAAUUCCAUCAGCACAUCAAGGAGUUUCUAGUUCUGUGACAUGAGCAACAUGGACGAGCAUCAAAAAGCUUACCUGAUGGCCAAGAGAGCUCAGUUCGCUAAGGCAGCGAGUGCUAGUGUAGGUGACACUGCUAGUGUAGGUGAUGCUACUAGUGCUUGAGUCAAGGUGCAGGUGCUAGUGCCAUAUGCUACUAGGCUGAAGCAAUAGGAGGCUCUGUUCCCAGUUUUUCAUUUCUGUCAUAUGUCAAUAGUCAAAAAUGGAGUUGUAUCUGAAUUUUCUGCAAGUAUCUUUUCUGAUGGUGAAAUUCAAUAGUUCAAAGUGGUAUCUUUUCUGCAAGUA